UACGAAGGGGGCUAGCGUUGCUCGGAAUCACUGGGCGUAAAGCGCACGUAGGCGGCUUCUUAAGUCAGGGGUGAAAUCCUGGAGCUCAACUCCAGAACUGCCUUUGAUACUGAGGAGCUUGAGUCCGGGAGAGGUGAGUGGAACUGCGAGUGUAGAGGUGAAAUUCGUAGAUAUUCGCAAGAACACCAGUGGCGAAGGCGGCUCACUGGCCCGGUACUGACGCUGAGGUGCGAAAGCGUGGGGAGCAACCAGG
This 253-nucleotide ribosomal RNA is filed under the name uncultured bacterium. RNAcentral describes it as "partial 16S ribosomal RNA". It matches the Rfam family "Bacterial small subunit ribosomal RNA", at positions 524 to 776 of the family's 1533-position model. The record is from RNAcentral.